Molecule: ribosomal RNA, 587 nt
Filed under: uncultured bacterium
Lineage: Bacteria
Description: partial 16S ribosomal RNA
Rfam family: Bacterial small subunit ribosomal RNA
Source: RNAcentral
UGGGGAAUUUUGGACAAUGGGCGAAAGCCUGAUCCAGCAAUGCCGCGUGUGUGAAGAAGGCCUUCGGGUUGUAAAGCACUUUUGUCCGGAAAGAAAUCCUUGGCUCUAAUACAGUCGGGGGAUGACGGUACCGGAAGAAUAAGCACCGGCUAACUACGUGCCAGCAGCCGCGGUAAUACGUAGGGUGCAAGCGCUAAUCGGAAUUACUGGGCGUAAAGCGUGCGCAGGCGGUUUGCUAAGACCGAUGUGAAAUCCCCGGGCUCAACCUGGGAACUGCAUUGGUGACUGGCAGGCUAGAGUAUGGCAGAGGGGGGUAGAAUUCCACGUGUAGCAGUGAAAUGCGUAGAGAUGUGGAGGAAUACCGAUGGCGAAGGCAGCCCCCUGGGCCAAAUACUGACGCUCAUGCACGAAAGCGUGGGGAGCAAAACAGGAUUAGAUACCCUGGUAGUCCACGCCCUAAACGAUGUCAACUAGUUGUUGGGGAUUCAUUUCCUUAGUAACGUAGCUAACGCGUGAAGUUGACCGCCUGGGGAGUACGGUCGCAAGAUUAAAACUCAAAUGAAUUGACGGGGUCAUAGCUGUUUCCU